CACGUAGGGCGCAAGCGUUGUCCGGAAUUAUUGGGCGUAAAGAGCUCGUAGGCGGUCUGUUACGUCUGCUGUGAAAACCCGGGGCUUAACCCUGGGCUUGCAGUGGAUACGGACAGACUAGAGGUAGGUAGGGGAGAAUGGAAUUCCCGGUGUAGCGGUGAAAUGCGCAGAUAUCAGGAGGAACACCGGUGGCGAAGGCGGGUCUCUGGGCCGAUACUGACGCUGAGGAGCGAAAGCGUGGGGAGCAAACAGG
Molecule: ribosomal RNA, 253 nt
Filed under: uncultured bacterium
Lineage: Bacteria
Description: partial 16S ribosomal RNA
Rfam family: Bacterial small subunit ribosomal RNA
Source: RNAcentral